GAUCCUGGCUCAGGAUAAACGCUGGCGGCGCACAUAAGACAUGCAAGUCGAACGAACUUAACCAUUAGUUACUAUUGGAGUCGGUUAGUGGCGGACUGGUGAGUAACACGUAAGCAACCUGCCUAUCAGAGGGGAACAACAGUUAGAAAUGACUGCUAAUACCGCAUAUGCCUUAGAAUCACAUGGUUCAAAAGGGAAAGGAGCAAUCCGCUGAUAGAUGGGCUUGCGUCUGAUUAG
RNAcentral lists this ribosomal RNA (237 nucleotides) under uncultured bacterium. RNAcentral describes it as "partial 16S ribosomal RNA". It matches the Rfam family "Bacterial small subunit ribosomal RNA", at positions 15 to 244 of the family's 1533-position model. The record is from RNAcentral.